This 465-nucleotide ribosomal RNA is filed under the name uncultured Verrucomicrobiota bacterium. Its description in RNAcentral is "bacterial SSU rRNA". It matches the Rfam family "Bacterial small subunit ribosomal RNA", at positions 338 to 795 of the family's 1533-position model. Lineage: Bacteria; Pseudomonadati; Verrucomicrobiota. The record is from RNAcentral.
CCUACGGGUGGCAGCAGUCGAGAAUUUUUCACAAUGGGGGAAACCCUGAUGGAGCGACGCCGCGUGGGGGAUGAAAGACUUUGGUCUGUAAACCCCUGUCAUCUGUGAUCAAUGUGCGGAUUUUAAUAAACUCCAGCACUGAUAGUAGCAGAAGAGGAAGAGACGGCUAACUCUGUGCCAGCAGCCGCGGUAAUACAGAGGUCUCAAGCGUUGUUCGGAUUUACUGGGCGUAAAGGGUGUGUAGGUGGAUAAAAUAGUUAAAUGUGAAAUCUUAAAGCCUAACUUUAAAACUGCUUUUAAUACUUUUUAUCUAGAGUAACAGAGGGGAAAUUGGAAUUCUCGGUGUAGCAGUGAAAUGCGUAGAUAUCGAGAGGAACACCAGUGGCGAAGGCGAAUUUCUGGCUGUUUACUGACACUGAGGCACGAAAGCUAAGGGAGCAAACGGGAUUAGAUACCCUAGUAGUC